UGGGGAAUUUUGUACAAUGGGGGAAACCCUGAUCCAGCCAUCCCGCGUGUGCGAUGAAGGCCUUCGGGUUGUAAAGCACUUUUGGCAGGAAAGAAACGUCAUGGGUUAAUACCCCGUGAAACUGACGGUACCUGCAGAAUAAGCACCGGCUACCUACGUGCCCGCAGCCGCGGUAAUACGUAGGGUGCAAGCGUUAAUCGGAAUUACUGGGCGUAAAGCGUGCGCAGGCGGUUCGGAAAGAAAGAUGUGAAAUCCCAGAGCUCAACGUGGGAACUGCAUUUUGAACUACCGGGCUAGAGUGUGGCAGAGGGAGGUGGAAUUCCGCGUGUAGAAGUGAAAUGCGAAGAUAUGCGGAGGAACACCGGUGGCGAAGGCAGCCUCCUGGGAUAACACUGACGCUGAUGCAGGAAAGCGUGGGGAGCAAACAGG
This 429-nucleotide ribosomal RNA is filed under the name Acidobacteriota bacterium. RNAcentral's name for it is "Acidobacteria bacterium partial 16S ribosomal RNA". It matches the Rfam family "Bacterial small subunit ribosomal RNA", at positions 355 to 776 of the family's 1533-position model. Lineage: Bacteria; Pseudomonadati; Acidobacteriota. The record is from RNAcentral.